CCUACGGGAGGCAGCAGUGGGGAAUCUUAGACAAUGGGGGCAACCCUGAUCUAGCCAUGCCGCGUGAGUGAUGAAGGCCUUAGGGUCGUAAAGCUCUUUCGCCUGUGAUGAUAAUGACAGUAGCAGGUAAAGAAACCCCGGCUAACUCCGUGCCAGCAGCCGCGGUAAUACGGAGGGGGUUAGCGUUGUUCGGAAUUACUGGGCGUAAAGCGCGCGUAGGCGGAUUAGAAAGUUGGGGGUGAAAUUCCGGGGCUCAACCCCGGAACUGCCUCCAAAACUGCUAGUCUAGAGUUCGAGAGAGGUGAGUGGAAUUCCGAGUGUAGAGGUGAAAUUCGUAGAUAUUCGGAGGAACACCAGUGGCGAAGGCGGCUCACUGGCUCGAUACUGACGCUGAGGUGCGAAAGUGUGGGAGCAAACAGGAUUAGAUACCCUGGUAGUCCACACCGUAAACGAUGAAUGCCAGUCGUCGGAUAGUAUACUAUUCGGUGACACACCUAACGGAUUAAGCAUUCCGCCUGGGGAGUACGGUCGCAAGAUUAAAACUCAAAUGAAUUGACGG
Molecule: ribosomal RNA, 559 nt
Filed under: uncultured bacterium
Lineage: Bacteria
Description: bacterial SSU rRNA
Rfam family: Bacterial small subunit ribosomal RNA
Source: RNAcentral